ACUGCAUUUUUACUAGUGCAGAGUACUUGGGAUUCACGAAUGAGCAAGGUCGAAUGCUAGGGUGCACCUGCUUCACCAUCAAACAAAAUUGCAAUCUUUACUUUGACAAAAUACUGAUUUUGAGAGAUGAAGAGAGGGAGGUAGACUUCGUUUUUCACUAGGGUAGAGUACCUGAGAUUCACGAAUAAGCAAGGUCGAAAGCUAGGGUACACCUGCG
This 217-nucleotide long non-coding RNA is filed under the name Nicotiana benthamiana. RNAcentral's name for it is "long non-coding RNA (NBEN_LNC000815)". Lineage: Eukaryota; Viridiplantae; Streptophyta; Magnoliopsida; Solanales; Solanaceae. The record is from RNAcentral.